CACACAGGAGGCCCCUUUCUGUGUUAGAAGCUGCUUUUUGUUAGAAGGACCCUUGCCCUAUCUGCCUAGUUGAUUUCUUUCUCUCUCCUCUCACAGAGUGUCACAGAAAGAACUCCAAUCCAUCAAGCAAAAAGACAGAAAAGGGGAGACAAAGAAGAAAAAGGAGGGGAAAAGGUAAAAGCAAGGAAGAGAAUGAAUUGCAGCUGAGGAAGUGGAAGAGCGAGAAGCGCUUCCAGAUUCCAGGGACUUAUACCAUCAGAGUUCCUGGUUCUCAGGCCUUCGGACUCAAACCAGAGUUUACAACACUGGCUCUCCUGGGUCUCUACUUCUCAGCUUCUCCAAGUUUCUCAAACUAAAGCCCGACUUGGGAUAGGUGAUACCAGGAAACAUGAGGAAGACAAUGAGGAGAGUGACGCAGUAGAGAAGCCCAGCCAGAGAAGGAGACGGGAGCAAGAUUCCAAUCUGAACGAAGAGGCACCGCAUUCCACACCCUCAGAAGACUGGCUGGUCUUCAUUCUGUGGUAUAACUAGAAGCGGGGAAUUGAGUGGGGAGCUGGAAAUUACGCAUCUUGGAGGAAGGGCCAGUCAAAUUAGUAGGCCACGGACUCAUUGCUCAUGUAGAUUCUGGGGACGCAGUGUGGCAUAGUGGUUGAGAUGCAGGCUGUAGAGUUAGACAGACGUGGUUCAGACCGAGGUAGGUUUGAGAUCUGCUUCACCAGUGUACCUAUUGGGGAGCUUUGGACUGUAGUCAAUAGAAAACUUAACCCAGAUGAGCUUCAACAAUAAGGAAAUGUAUGGACAGCUGGAAAUUCAAGUUCGGGUAACCUUCAAGGUCAGCUUCAUCCAGUGGCUCUUUUUUUUUUUUGCCAUA
Cercocebus atys (sooty mangabey) is the source of this 871-nucleotide long non-coding RNA. RefSeq lists it as uncharacterized. The transcript is spliced from 4 exons. Lineage: Eukaryota; Metazoa; Chordata; Mammalia; Primates; Cercopithecidae. The record is from RefSeq and is a predicted model, not a curated record.